RNAcentral lists this ribosomal RNA (382 nucleotides) under uncultured marine Chaetocerotaceae. RNAcentral describes it as "SSU rRNA". It matches the Rfam family "Eukaryotic small subunit ribosomal RNA", at positions 587 to 972 of the family's 1831-position model. Lineage: Eukaryota; Bacillariophyta; Thalassiosirophyceae; Chaetocerotales; Chaetocerotaceae. The record is from RNAcentral.
AGCUCCAAUAGCGUAUAUUAAAGUUGUUGCAGUUAAAAAGCUCGUAGUUGGAUUUCUGGUGUGAGGGAACGGUCCGACCUCUGGUGGGUACUUGCUUCCUCUCACGCCAUCCUUGAGUGGUGCGUUCUGGCAUUCAGUUGUCGGGACGUUAGCCGCUCAUCGUUUACUGUGAGAAAAUUAGAGUGUUCAAAGCAGGCUUAUGCCGUUGAAUAUAUUAGCAUGGAAUAAUAAGAUAGGACUUCGGUACUAUUUUGUGGGUUUGCGCACCGAUGUAAUGAUCAAUAGGGACAGUUGGGGGUAUUCGUAUUCAGUUGUCAGAGGUGAAAUUCUUAGAUUUACGGAAGACGAACUACUGCGAAAGCAUUUACCAAGGAUGUUUGCA